RNAcentral lists this ribosomal RNA (500 nucleotides) under Salmonella enterica subsp. enterica. RNAcentral's name for it is "bacterial SSU rRNA". It matches the Rfam family "Bacterial small subunit ribosomal RNA", at positions 1 to 492 of the family's 1533-position model. The record is from RNAcentral. Lineage: Bacteria; Pseudomonadati; Pseudomonadota; Gammaproteobacteria; Enterobacterales; Enterobacteriaceae.
AAAUUGAAGAGUUUGAUCAUGGCUCAGAUUGAACGCUGGCGGCAGGCCUAACACAUGCAAGUCGAACGGUAGCACAGAGAGCUUGCUCUCGGGUGACGAGUGGCGGACGGGUGAGUAAUGUCUGGGAAACUGCCUGAUGGAGGGGGAUAACUACUGGAAACGGUGGCUAAUACCGCAUAACGUCGAAAGACCAAAGAGGGGGACCUUCGGGCCUCUUGCCAUCAGAUGUGCCCAGAUGGGAUUAGCUAGUUGGUGAGGUAACGGCUCACCAAGGCGACGAUCCCUAGCUGGUCUGAGAGGAUGACCAGCCACACUGGAACUGAGACACGGUCCAGACUCCUACGGGAGGCAGCAGUGGGGAAUAUUGCACAAUGGGCGCAAGCCUGAUGCAGCCAUGCCGCGUGUAUGAAGAAGGCCUUCGGGUUGUAAAGUACUUUCAGCGGGGAGGAAGGUGUUGUGGUUAAUAACCGCAGCAAUUGACGUUACCCGCAGAAGAAGCA